Balaenoptera acutorostrata (minke whale) is the source of this 4899-nucleotide RNA transcript. RefSeq lists it as uncharacterized. NCBI's taxonomy places the organism in Eukaryota, Metazoa, Chordata, Mammalia, Artiodactyla, Balaenopteridae. The record is from RefSeq and is a predicted model, not a curated record. The transcript is spliced from 6 exons.
CCGAGAGCGCGGACGGUGGGUGCAAUGGGUUGCGCGGGUAGGUCCUCCUCUCGGGCUUAGGGAGCGGGAGCAACAGGUGGAGCCCGCCGUACCUCCUCUGAAGGGGCUCUGUUCUAGCUCAUGUAUGGGAACGUAAGUUCUUGUAUUCUUGCUUUGGUUUUAGCGCAGGGGCUGUUUACGUACUAGCUGUGUGCCUGAAGCCUCGCAAACGUUUUAGCAUUUAAUUUACAACUCAACCAGCCUGUAUUGGAGGUGUUGUUUUCCGCAGGUUUUCAUGCCUCGCCUGUUGCUCACUGAUGGUUGGGGAAGGUCUGGCUGCCUCCAAUAAUCAAGCUAAACUGGGUCCUUUGUUAUAUGCAGAGAAAUCAGCUUCACGGUAGUUAAUCUUUUUUUCGAUGUGGGGACCACCAGACCAUCUGGGAAACCUUUCCCACGCACUGUCUCUAUGUCCGGUGACUUUGGGAAGUCCUAAAGGACAACGGGGAAAUUCACUAAGCUUAGGUCGAGUGAGCCUCCCCACCACCCCGGAGCCAGCAUGGGACACAGCUGAACUCAUUUCUUGGAGGAACUUGCCAGUGUGUCCCCAAGAGCCUGGGUGGCAUAGUCUGUGCCCAACUGGUGCCUGAAGCCUACGGGUACUGCACUUCCUGUGCUCCGGACUUCCUCAUAGGUUGUCUUUCUAGCUGUCUUCUAGUGACAGGAAAUUCAGAGAAACCAACAGGCCUGUUUCUCCAGGAGGGGGAUGUCCCUCAUGCCCUGAAUUCUGCCAGGAAAGUAGACUGGAUACCAAGUGACGUGGAGGAGGGGCUCCUGCAACCUUGCUGUGAAAACCUCUCCCCUCUGUGUCCCAUGGACGUGUCACCCAGUAUCCCAGGGGAAACUGGAGCAGUUUUUGCUGAGCUGUUUGGGGCUGUUGUCCUAAAGCUAAGCAGGGGUGGGGGUGGGGGACAGACAGGUCCUAGGUCUGGUCCCUCAUGUCCUUGUAUUGCACAAGGGACAAAGCCUCAUUUCCCAGGACAUUCAAGCAUAUUCCAAGCAGAGGCCUCUUCCACCCCUGAUUCUGCCCCUUCUUUCAUUUCCUGCCCCUCCUUUUCCCCCCAGCUUCACACUGAGAUUCUCACUUUCCCCUUUUUUCUCCUUAUUCAUUCUUUCAUUCAAAACACAUUUACUGGGACUUCCCUGGCGGUCCAGUGGAUAGGACUUCGCCUUCCAAUGCAGGGAGUGCAGGUUCGAUCCCUGGUCGGGGAGAUAAGAUCCCACAUGCCUCACGGUCAGAAAACCAAAACACAAAACAGAAGAAAUAGUGUAAUAAAUUCAUUAAAGACUUUAAAAAUGGUCCACAUCAAAAAAAAUCUUAAAAAAAAAUAUUUACUGAGCUCCUGACCCAGGGGAAGACGACAGACAAAUCUACACUUUUCAUGAGACUUAUUCCACUAGGGGUAAGGAACAGAAAGAAGUAAGUGUAAUAAUAGCACCUAUUUUGUGAGUGCCUAUGUGCGUCCAAACUAAGGCACAUCAAGGGUAAUUCACUUGCCAAAGGUCACAACUAAGGAUUCCAACCCAGGCACUGGUCAGAGAUCAUGCUGUUAACCAGCAACCCAUACUGCCUCCUUGGUGAUUACAGAUAUGAGAUUAGGGCUCUGUGCCAUUUGUCAGCCAAGGUAAAAUGUUUUGUGCUAUAAAUUUGUAAAUCAUGGCAGGCAGGGGAAGGACGAUCUCAUAUAAAAUAAAGUUCACAAGAAUUGCAGUCGAGUUUUAUGAAAAGGAGGACUAUGGAUUUCUCACAUAUCCAAGAAGGGAUUUUGAAAGGGAAAAUAAUGCUCCCGCGGAAGACUCACCCACGCAGGCCUCACCCUUGCAUUAGCGUGCAAAGGUGAGUUCUACCUGGCACCAAGCCUGGGAAGAGAUAGAUUCACUUCCUCCUUGGACUUUUGGGCUUAGACGUCAUCCAGCAUGGAGGGGAUGGAAAAAGAGAUGCCAUGCAAAUGGAAAUCAGAAGAAAGCUGGAGUAGCAAUUCUCAUAUCAGACAAAAUAGACUUUAAAAUAAAGACUCUUCCAAGAGACAAAGAAGAACACUGCAUAAUGACUGAGGGAUCAGUCCUAGAUGAAGAUAUAACAAUUGUAAAUAUUUAUGCCCCCAACAUAGGGGCAACUCAAUACAUAAGGCAAAUGCUAAGGGCCAUGAAAGGGGAAGCUGACAGUAACACAGUCACAGUAGGGGACGUUAACACCCAGCUGGCGUCCUCGGCAGCCUCACUACCUGCAGAACUUCUGACACUGCUCUUCUUUCCCAGAUAGUGACCUCGCAGGGUAGGCAGGGCCGUAGGAGGUGGGGGAGGGGAGAGAGCAACAGGACUCCACUCACUGUAUCCCUCUCUGCUUCCAUCCAGGGCUGCUGUCACUGUGACCAGAGAUAGUGGUGUCCUUGGCUCUGCACCUAGUGUUCCCACACUGCCUCCAAGAUGUCAGCUAAAGCCAUAGAGAGCGGGGGAGGAGAUGCCACUGACCCCUUCCGGCCGGAAUCCCCCUCUGAUGAGGAGGAUGAACCUUCCCAGUCAUCCAACCAGGCCUCUGAUGGUUCUCCUGGCAAGCCACCACAGGGGCCACCCCAGGGGCCAGAUGGAUCUGGCUCUGACCCCAGAGACCCACCCAAGGAUGGAGGCAGCAAUUUCUCCCGUAAAGCAGGAACCUCCAUACUGUUCUCCAUAGCGGCUGUAUCAAUUUACAUUCCCACCAACAGUGCAAGAGAGUUCUCUCUCCUCCACACCCUCUCCAGCAUUUGUUGUUUGUAGAUUUUCUGAGGAUGCCCAUUCUGACCGGCGUAAGGUGAUACCUCAAUGUAGUUUUGAUUGCAUGUCUCUAAUAAUUAGUGAUGUUGAGCAGCUUUUCAUGUGCUUCUUGGCCAUCUGUAUGUCUUCUUUGGAGAAAUGUCUAUUUAGGUCUUCUGCCCAUUUUUUGAUUGGGUUGUUUGUUUUUUGUUAAUAUUGAGCUGCAUGAGCUGUUUAUAUAUUUUGGGGAUUAAUCAUUUGUCCGUUGAUUCAUUUGCAAAUAUUUUCUCCCAUUCUGAGGGUUGUCUUUUCAUCUUGUUUGUAGUUUCCUUUGCUGUGCAAAACUUUGAAGUUUCAUUAGGUCCUAUUUGUUUAUUUUUGUUUUUAUUUCCAUUACUCUAGGAGGUGGACCAAAAAAGAUCUUGCUGUGAUUUAUGUCAAAGAGUGUUCUUCCUAUGUCUCCUCGAAGAGUUUUAUAGUGUCCGGCGGUCUUACAUUUAGGAAGUAGGGCCUCUGUGCAACCAGAAAUGGGAAUGGGACUGAAGGAGAUUCAGCCCACAAAUAUCCGACCACCAGCUUCCACCUCUGCAAUCAGCCACCCUGUGUCUGCUCAACGCAUCACAGAAACAAGUUUUCAAGGUGAGUAUACAAACAGCAGAGAAAAUUGAAGAAUGAGGUCAGCGUUCAAAAAUGGGGUCAAAUCGACAGCUGGGAAGUGGUGUAGAGACAGGUAGAAUUUAGAUCCUGAGCCUUUAAUAACCACUACCUUCUCUCAGUGCUCUCUGUUUUUAGACUCUAUAUAAGAACACCUAGGGCUUCCCUGGUGGCGCCUGCCAAUGCAGGGGACACGGGUUCGAGCCCUGGUCUGGGAAGAUCCCACAUGCUGUGCAGCAACUAAGCGCAUGUGCCACAACGACUGAGCCUGCAUUCUAGAGCCCGUGAGCCUCAACUACCGAAGCCCACGUGCCUACAGCCCAUGCUCCGCUACAAGAGAAGCCACCGCGAUGAGAAGCCCGCACACCGCAACCAAGAGUAGCCCCCGCUAGCCGUAACUAGAGAAAGCCCGUGCACAGCAAUGAAGACCCAGUGCAGCCAAAAGAAUAAAUACGUAGAAUAAAUAAGUUCAAACAAUAAAUAAAUAAAUAAACCUAAAUUUUAAAAAAAAAGAACAUCUAAUGCAGGAGGGAAGGUGGGAGGGCCACUGUAAAGGUCAUCUAUGCUACAUGUACAAGAACCCCGAGAGCACACCAAUAGGUACCACAUUUUUCACUGCUGUAGCCGAUCAUUCCCCCUGUACUAUACCACACUGUAGCACUCCCUUCCCUCAUCUACUGCUAUAGUCUCUUUGGAAGGUGUUUCAGAACUCUUGUUAUGAGAGUGCCAGUUGAACUGUCCUCACUUCCUUAAUUUAUACCAGGAUUUAAGACCUUGUGGUCUGAGAUCCUGUCCAGAGAGCAAGCAGGCUAAGACUCUGUCUUUGUUGAUAUAUUUCAUCAGAAAGGGCUCUACCCCCUCUCCUAGUUCAUGGUGUGAAGUGUUCUUAGCCUCUCAGGAAAGUGGGGAGAAUUGAAAGGACUCUAUAUGAGAAUGCUAGGCUUUGUAAAACAUUUCAGUUUUUUAAAAAUAAGACUCAUUUUGUAUUGGACUUACAACAGUCCUAUGAAAUACAAAGAAAGCCAAGAAUCAGUGACAUGAAACGAUCACCAGUAAGAAUUACAACAGUCACCGCUUACCUCGUAGCAUAGGGCACUGUCCAUGAUCCUUAAGAAGAGUUAGCAGAAAUGCCUUGCCCAUCUUGCCCCUGAACCCCUUGAAAGGUACACGACUGCUGUGUUGGUGUUUAGGGGGAGCAUCUCACUUACCAGGGACUGACUUCUCCCUUGAUUCCUCUGUAGUGAUGGAGACUUACCCGCUGAUGAAAAAUUCCCUGGGAUUGCAACCUCCAAGCCAGACAGCUUUCCUAUGGACUGACAGAGAACUUGUCAAGAUGAAACACCAGUCUGCGGGAGAAAGGGAAGAAGAGAAUGAUGGAAAUCGUUUCUGGGAAACUAUUUUUACAUUAUGUUUUGUUUGUUCCUGGUAAAUAAACUGUAAUCUUCUUAACAUUAAAACAAAAUCUAAACCACUAAA